GAGACCAUGCACCUGUCCCCCAGCCUCCUCCCCGCCCAGCAGCCCACCAUCUCCUUGCUCUACGAGGACACUGCUGACACACUGAGUGUUGAGUCGCUGACCCUUGUCCCCCCCGUCGAUCCCCACAGCCUUCGAGCCCUCUCUGGCAUCUCCCAGCUCCCCGCAAUGGCUGCAGCAGAUUCGGAGACCCCAGCUGAGGGUGCUGUAAGCCCAGAGCCUGCGGGCCCCACAGAGCACUGAGUGGGCACCAGAAAUCUCCUUUUGUGUGUGUGGCCCGCUGGCAGGGACCCCUGUGCAGUUUGUGACAGCAAGACACACUGGGAACACCCACAAUUCUCCACACCCCUGAAAACUGUCCUUUAUACCUCUCCCUACAAGACACCAAGCAAGCACUCGUUUGCUCUGACCUCUUGCUGAGCGGACUGGGAUCCUAGCGACAGCCUCCUGUGACAGACAUGGCAUUGGCCACCUCAGAGGGGUCUGGGGCCCUGACCCAAGGGGCAGGACCCACUGGCUCCCUCCUUCAGGCAGCUCCUCUGUUUUCUCUCCCAGUCUGCACAGAAGCGGACAAGGUUACUUUGGAUAGAAAUCUGUGGAGAUGCAAACCUAGGUAAACAUCUCUUUGGGCUAUUUAUUUCUGUUUUGGGAAACAGAUGAAGAGAUUUAUUUUAAAAGAAUCUAUUUUGGGGGAGGGGCAAAAAAAAAAAAGUCCUCAACCAUAAGGCUCGGAGUCACAUUAGUGUCAGCUGUGAAGAUUCCCAUCCUUAGAACUUCUCCAUGUUUUUAUUCUGAAGUUGUGGGUGUCGCAUCCUCCGUCUUCCUGAGUGAUUCUUCUUUCUCUCUCCCCAACUCUGCAAGCCUCUGAGAUGAUGAAGCCUCUCCCUGAAACACGGAGGCACUUUCAAACCAAGUGAGAGACCUGGAUAUGCUCAGGUUGCAUGGGGUGAGGAGGCCAGAAGCCUCUGCUCCCACGUGACCUGAUGAUUCUGCUCCCUGCUCAGGAUGCCACCUUCUCUUCCUUCUCUCUUCCUCCAAGAAAGAUCCAUUGACAGGAAUCAAAGGAUUUAAGGCACAGAAAGUCAUGCUCAGAUGUAAUCAGCUUCCCAAGAUGCAAGUGGAUGCCCAGCUAGGGGCCCAGCUGCAAAACAGGUGACCAAAAGCAGAAUCCCACCCUUUCCCACACAAUCCUUUCCCUUGCUGCCACCACACAGCUUAUUUAUGAAAACUCCAUAUUUCUAGGCAUGUGCCAGCAAGGACCAGAUCUGUCCCAUGUGGCCCCAGCCUUCCUCUGUGUUCACCAGCCAGGUCACCACCCCAGGCUCCAUGGCAAUGCCCUCUAUGGCUCUCCUGUAGAUUUGGCCUCACAGUUUCAGUAUCCAUCAAAGGAGAGAUACACGGGUACCCCUCAGACAUGUGUCACUGUCUACUCCUCGUUAGACCUUGACACUCUGUUAGCUGAUGUCACUGCAAGCCCCAAUGCUCAGUCUUCCAAGGGGCCCUGGGAAGGUAGUGAUGCCCAUGUGUACUGGCUUCUCUGGUCUUUAAAAGCACUCCUGAAACAGAAGGCUGGGUCAGGAAGUGAACCACCCUUGCCACCCCAAAGGCCCUGGCAAAGAAGGGCUGUAGGACACUUAGCCCCUGGGAAGAGAGGAGAGUGAUGGCCACGGAGAACUAGAGCUCUCUGGACCCCACAGCCAACCUUGGUUGUUUCUUGCUCAUUUGCAGGGAGGGGUAGACAAAGGAGCAGGCUAUCCCUGUCUCUAGGACAACUGUACACUACGGGUUUUGAAAUGACAGUUGCUAGGGCAGCGUAAACGUUAUACAAUUCAAGUGACUCUCCCCCCUACAGUGUGGUCUUCAGAGAAAAGCCCAUACUGUACAGGUCGCCCCAUCCUUCUGUGACUAGCUUCUUUCUUGCCAUCCAGAGGUUUCAAGGAAGGGAAAAGAUUGCAUCCAAGGUGGUCAGCAAACCCUGAGAGGGUAGCUGCUAUGUAAAAUUCACCAAUAACAAGCCUGUCCCCACAGCUGGCUCCCAAAGGGUUCUUGCAGCCAGGAGCCUAAGACAUACCUCCAGGUGAGCAAAGAUGGACUUCCUAUGACCAGAGUUAUGACCCAUUGCUGAUGAAGGGUGGGGUCCUGGAAGAAGCAACAGGACCUCGGGACCCAGAAGGAGGACACUUUCUCACCUAAAUCUUGGUGGCAAUGGAUACAACCCAGUCUUCAGGAGCACUCUGCUAACUUGGCAGCUGUGCUCUCCAGACAGACCUAGCCAGUGAGAACCCACUGAGUCUCAGUAGGACUAAGGGAUACCAGGUCCAGUAGUCCCACAGCUCCUGACCUGGAGGUCCCAGAGUCAGCCUCCAAAAUCAUUGUCCCAUCUCCCAGGCCAUGCAUUCUAUGUCUGCCCUGGUCACCCUCCAGUCUGCAACUGCCCCAGGGCAGACUAGCAGAGCUGGCCUCUAAAUCCCUCACCCUAGCUUUGAUGGUCACCAUGGAGACGUACAGUACUGCCUCCUCCUUUUUGGAGUCUUAGGCAUGUGGGACACUUCCCACAGGUCAGACUCAGUGUAGCAGUGAGCUCCUUAUUUGGUGGAAGUGGUGGAAGAGGCUUCCAGAGCUGACCCCUCUCUGCUGCUCUACCCACCCAGACAGUUGCAUUGCCAGAAGCUGGCUGGCUGCAUCCUAAGGAUGGUACUGGCUUUCUCUGUGGCCUCUGAAAUGCUGUUGUACAUAAGGCGUGGGUAAACCAAGUCUGAUCUUUUGUAGAUGCAAUAAAUAUAUUUCACACAGUCACAAUGGGCAGAAGGUUAAAUGUUUCUUCCCUCCCUCAGAGCUGAAGCUGUGAGGAAAAAGGGGGGAGAGGGGGGCAAGGAGGCUGAGCUGGGAGGGUCCGGCCAGGGAAGUGCCUGCGCCUGCCAGCAGGACUCAUACUCUGUGGGGACUGAACCUGAGGGGAGGAAUGAAAGCUAGAACUUUCUUGUAAUUUGAAACUUGGCAAUAAAAAGCAAAACCAAUGGCCCAGG
This 3023-nucleotide long non-coding RNA is filed under the name Rattus norvegicus (Norway rat). Its description in RNAcentral is "long non-coding RNA NONRATT005182". Lineage: Eukaryota; Metazoa; Chordata; Mammalia; Rodentia; Muridae. The record is from RNAcentral.